GGUUCCCGAAAAGGGGCCAUUUUUAGGGAGGCUCUUUAUAUAUUUCUUGACUUCCUGCUUUCGCUACAUCACGCCAAAUCCGAGUUGAAUGCAAGGGCCUUGAACUGAAUCUAGAGCUUUCACAAAAACACACCGAGACAUUUACCUGCCUUGUUCAGCUGCAGCAAUCGCCAUUUGUUUCCUAUCAUCUGGCAGUUCCUUUGAUCUUAUCGAACAGCCAUUCGCAGGGAAUUAGUGGCAACCUUUAAACCAUCUAGAUGCAAUUAAGCUUCCCAGACAGAAACCAAAA
Non-coding RNA from Bemisia tabaci, 289 nucleotides. NCBI's taxonomy places the organism in Eukaryota, Metazoa, Arthropoda, Insecta, Hemiptera, Aleyrodidae. The record is from RefSeq and is a predicted model, not a curated record.